UGGGGCAUAUUGGACAAUGGGCGAAAGCCUGAUCCAGCCAUGCCGCGUGUGUGAAGAAUGUCUUCGGAUUGUAAAGCACUUUAAGUUGGGAGGAAGGGCAGUAAGCGAAUACCUUGCUGUUUUGACGUUACCGACAGAAUAAGCACCGGCUAACUCUGUGCCAGCAGCCGCGGUAAUACAGAGGGUGCAAGCGUUAAUCGGAAUUACUGGGCGUAAAGCGCGCGUAGGUGGUUCGUUAAGUUGAAUGUGAAAGCCCCGGGCUCAACCUGGGAACUGCAUCCAAAACUGGCGAGCUAGAGUAGGGCAGAGGGUGGUGGAAUUUCCUGUGUAGCGGUGAAAUGCGUAGAUAUAGGAAGGAACACCAGUGGCGAAGGCGACCACCUGGGCUCAUACUGACACUGAGGUGCGAAAGCGUGGGGAGCAAACAGG
This 429-nucleotide ribosomal RNA is filed under the name Pseudomonadota bacterium. RNAcentral's name for it is "Proteobacteria bacterium partial 16S ribosomal RNA". It matches the Rfam family "Bacterial small subunit ribosomal RNA", at positions 355 to 776 of the family's 1533-position model. The record is from RNAcentral. Lineage: Bacteria; Pseudomonadati; Pseudomonadota.